RNAcentral lists this ribosomal RNA (392 nucleotides) under uncultured bacterium. Its description in RNAcentral is "partial 16S ribosomal RNA". It matches the Rfam family "Bacterial small subunit ribosomal RNA", at positions 524 to 918 of the family's 1533-position model. The record is from RNAcentral.
UACGAGGGGUGCAAGCGUUGUUCGGAAUUACUGGGCGUAAAGGGAGCGUAGGCGGAGAUUCAAGCGGAUUGUACAAUCCCGGGGCCCAACCCCGGCUCUGCAGUCCGAACUGGAUCUCUUGGAUAGUUCAGGGGCAGGCGGAAUUCCUGGUGUAGCGGUGGAAUGCGUAGAGAUCAGGAAGAACACCGAUGGCGAAGGCAGCCUGCUGGGGACUUAUCGACGCUGAGGCUCGAAAGUGCGGGUAGCAAACAGGAUUAGAUACCCUGGUAGUCCGCACCGUAAACGAUGCAUACUGGGUGUCCGGGGGUUCCCCCGGGUACCGUAGCCAACGCGUUAAGUACGCCGCCUGGGGAGUACGUACGCAAGUAUGAAACUCAAAUGAAUUGGCGGGG